GCACUCAAAGAGACAACACCGCUCAGUCGCUCCUGAUCAGUCGCUCCCUCCAUCAGGUUCGCUCUCUACGCCAUGAAGCCAGAGCCAGCUAGCGUCUCCGUCGCCCUCUCCAUGGGUUAGCCUCUCUUUUGUUUCGCUUGAAGGAAUCGAUCGCAAUUCGCACUCAAAGAGACAACACCGCUCUGUCGCUCCCUCCAUCAGGUUUGCUCUUUACGCCACGAAGCCAGAGCCAACUAGCUUCUCCAUCCCCCUCUCCAUGGGUUAGCCUCUCUAUCGUUUCACUCAAGGGAAUUGAUCACGAACAGGAGGGAUUCCUCCAUAAAUCGACUGAGUCGUGGACUCCAAAGCACUCGAUCUCUUCCUAUACAGGCUCGCGCUCGGUCACUCGGUGGAGAGAGUGGCGGAAACUGCGAUCAACCCUUGUGAUAACCAGAUGCCUGGUAGUGAUAGAGUUAUUGACAUCGGAGGUCCAUCCUUCUCCAACGAACAAACAAGAGCAAGGAAUGUUCAAGUUUCAAUAAGCCAAUCUUCAAUUGAUGUCUCGGAAUCUCCAUGCACUCAACAAUCUGGAAUCGGUGGUGGAUUGUGAAAUUGUGGACCAAGAAAUGCUAGUGGAUGUUCAGUGCCUGCUGUUAGAUGAGGAGAUUUUGUUGCAGACAGAAAAGUGCUAGUUUUUAUGUUUUUUGUAAGUAGAUAUGGCUAUGUACUGUCUGGUGUGAGGAUAUGGUAAUGUAACUUUCUAUAUGGGAUGGUUUGGUUAUGUACGAUGCAUUGAGUUGUGCUUGUUAUGUUGGCAUGUCUCUCUUUUCCAGCACACAAUGUGGAUCGGUUUAAGUUAAUCUAAUGCUAUUUAGCAGAUUUUUGCC
Long non-coding RNA from Syzygium oleosum, 866 nucleotides. RefSeq lists it as uncharacterized. The record is from RefSeq and is a predicted model, not a curated record. NCBI's taxonomy places the organism in Eukaryota, Viridiplantae, Streptophyta, Magnoliopsida, Myrtales, Myrtaceae. The transcript is spliced from 2 exons.